UAUUCUCUGAGACUUCAAUUCUUUAUCCUUAAAUGGCUUUGAUGCUAGUAGACUCUUCACAGGGUUGUUGAAAGGCUUUUAUUAUGUAAUUAAUGUGAAAUGCUCAGCAAAGUACUGAAAUAUGUCUCUGCUAAAUUUUAAUCAUGAUCAGUAUUACUAAAAGGGAACAAAGAAGAGUUGAUUGGGGUAGAGGUAUGGCAUGUGUGGAGCCCUCCUUCUCCACGGUCUGGGAACUACUGGCAAGGAAGUAGCUGGAGGUGAGAGGGGAGAGGAGGUAAGAGGAGAUGCAGAUCCUGCUAAGUGGGCUUGGUAGAUUGGGUAAGAAGAGAAUGAGAGGAGUUUUGAUGUAGCCAUAAUUAAUAGCUGGCACCUUUUUUGAGUGUUUACUGUGAGCCCCGUGUAGUUCUAAAUGUUUUACAUGUAAAGCACCAACUCUUUGAGGUAGUUAAUAUUUUAAUAUUUUUAAUUCUUUAAGAUAAGAUAAGGGGCAGAGAAGUGUGCCUCAAAUUACACAGCCAAAUAGUAGGAUGGAGCUGUGAUUUGAGCCCCAACAGCCCAACUCCAGAAGUAUACUCUUUACUGCUUCUGGUAUAGACAAUAGAAAGAAGUAUGGAUUCAAAAUAUUGAAGAAUAAUCAAUAAUACUUGAUAAUUAGAUAUGAGGAAGGAAGCAAAACUAAAAGAGGUUCCCCUUAGGUUCCUG
RNAcentral lists this long non-coding RNA (702 nucleotides) under Marmota monax (woodchuck). Lineage: Eukaryota; Metazoa; Chordata; Mammalia; Rodentia; Sciuridae. The record is from RNAcentral.